RNAcentral lists this transfer-messenger RNA (154 nucleotides) under Burkholderiaceae bacterium. RNAcentral describes it as "partial transfer-messenger RNA". It matches the Rfam family "transfer-messenger RNA", at positions 1 to 165 of the family's 374-position model. From Rfam's summary of the family: Bacterial tmRNA, also known as 10Sa RNA or SsrA, is named for its dual tRNA and mRNA-like properties. Lineage: Bacteria; Pseudomonadati; Pseudomonadota; Betaproteobacteria; Burkholderiales; Burkholderiaceae. The record is from RNAcentral.
GGGGCUGUCCUGGUUUCGACGUGGGUUCGGGACCGGUGUGGUGCAUGCCGAGCUUGAGUGACGCUCGUAAAUCUCCAUUCAAAAAACUAACUGCAAACGACGAACGUUUCGCACUCGCCGCUUAAAUCCGGUGAGCCUUGCAACAGCACGCUGA